RNAcentral lists this ribosomal RNA (274 nucleotides) under uncultured bacterium. RNAcentral describes it as "partial 16S ribosomal RNA". It matches the Rfam family "Bacterial small subunit ribosomal RNA", at positions 524 to 796 of the family's 1533-position model. The record is from RNAcentral.
UACGUAGGGUGCAAGCGUUGUCCGGAUUUAUUGGGCGUAAAGAGCUCGUAGGCGGCUUGGCAAGUCGGGUGUGAAAACUCCAGGCUCAACCUGGAGAUGCCACUCGAUACUGCUAUGGCUUGAGUCUGGUAGGGGAGCACGGAAUUCCUGGUGUAGCGGUGAAAUGCGCAGAUAUCAGGAGGAACACCGGUGGCGAAGGCGGUGCUCUGGGCCAGUACUGACGCUGAGGAGCGAAAGCGUGGGGAGCAAACAGGAUUAGAAACCCUCGUAGUCC